RNAcentral lists this ribosomal RNA (464 nucleotides) under uncultured bacterium. RNAcentral's name for it is "partial 16S ribosomal RNA". It matches the Rfam family "Bacterial small subunit ribosomal RNA", at positions 28 to 506 of the family's 1533-position model. The record is from RNAcentral.
GACGAACGCUGGCGGCGUGCUUAACACAUGCAAGUCGAACGGAAAGGCCCUGCUUGCAGGGUACUCGAGUGGCGAACGGGUGAGUAACACGUGGGUGAUCUGCCCUGCACUUCGGGAUAAGCCUGGGAAACUGGGUCUAAUACCGGAUAUGACCUUCCAUGUAGUGUGGGGGGUGGAAAGAUUUAUCGGUGUGGGAUGAGCCCGCGGCCUAUCAGCUUGUUGGUGGGGUAAUGGCCUACCAAGGCGUCGACGGGUAGCCGGCCUGAGAGGGUGGACGGCCACAUUGGGACUGAGAUACGGCCCAGACUCCUACGGGAGGCAGCAGUGGGGAAUAUUGCACAAUGGGCGGAAGCCUUAUGCAGCGACGCCGCGUGGGGGAUGACGGCCUUCGGGUUGUGAACCUCUUUCGACAGGGACGAAGCUUCGGUGACGGUACCUGUAUAAGAAGCACCGGCUAACUACGU